RNAcentral lists this ribosomal RNA (157 nucleotides) under Staphylococcus aureus. Its description in RNAcentral is "partial 16S ribosomal RNA". It matches the Rfam family "Bacterial small subunit ribosomal RNA", at positions 1 to 152 of the family's 1533-position model. The record is from RNAcentral. Lineage: Bacteria; Bacillati; Bacillota; Bacilli; Caryophanales; Staphylococcaceae.
UUUAUGGAGAGUUUGAUCCUGGCUCAGGAUGAACGCUGGCGGCGUGCCUAAUACAUGCAAGUCGAGCGAACGGACGAGAAGCUUGCUUCUCUGAUGUUAGCGGCGGACGGGUGAGUAACACGUGGAUAACCUACCUAUAAGACUGGGAUAACUUCGG